UGGGGAAUAUUGGACAAUGGGGGGAACCCUGAUCCAGCCAUGCCGCGUGUGUGAAGAAGGCCUUAUGGUUGUAAAGCACUUUAAGCGAGGAGGAGGGUACUGGUAUUAAUACUACCAGGUACUGGACGUUACUCGCAGAAUAAGCACCGGCUAACUCUGUGCCAGCAGCCGCGGUAAUACAGAGGGUGCGAGCGUUAAUCGGAUUUACUGGGCGUAAAGCGUGCGUAGGCGGCUAAUUGAGUCGGAUGUGAAAUCCCCGAGCUUAACUUGGGAAUUGCAUUCGAUACUGGUUAGCUAGAAUGUGGGAGAGGAUGGUAGAAUUCCAGGUGUAGCGGUGAAAUGCGUAGAGAUCUGGAGGAAUACCGAUGGCGAAGGCAGCCAUCUGGCCUAACACUGACGCUGAGGUACGAAAGCAUGGGGAGCAAACAGG
This 430-nucleotide ribosomal RNA is filed under the name Pseudomonadota bacterium. RNAcentral's name for it is "Proteobacteria bacterium partial 16S ribosomal RNA". It matches the Rfam family "Bacterial small subunit ribosomal RNA", at positions 355 to 776 of the family's 1533-position model. The record is from RNAcentral. Lineage: Bacteria; Pseudomonadati; Pseudomonadota.